CUGCCCGCCCGGGCCGGGCCGGGGCCAUGCCCGGGGUCCCCCUCCUGCGGGUCGGGCUCCGGAGCCGGGGCGCUCAUCGCGGCCAAAGCCCGCCUGGCAGCGGCGGGGCGGGACGGGCGGUUCGCCCGGGACUGGCCGGCUGCCGAGAGGAGCCUGAAGUGCGAUAACCGCCGAGAAACUCAUCCAUUUAGGAGAGGAGCAACCCCAUGGAUUUCCAUUGAUAACACGUGGAGCUCAGCAAGAAUGAAAUAGCCAAGGAAGCCUCCGAAACCAAGACAACCCGUGUGUGUUUACACAUACUAUGUAUAAACAGGAAAAUAAAGCAAAAAGAAAACAGGAAAAUAAAGUAAAAGAUGUCGUGAA
Long non-coding RNA from Columba livia (rock pigeon), 363 nucleotides. RefSeq lists it as uncharacterized. Lineage: Eukaryota; Metazoa; Chordata; Aves; Columbiformes; Columbidae. The record is from RefSeq and is a predicted model, not a curated record. The transcript has 2 exons.